CAUAUGGCACAGUUUUGCUGUCAAUCAUUCUGGUGGCAGUAACUAGGUUACAGUGGAAAAUUCCACUAUGCCUGAACCCAGUAACCAAAUGCUACAGUAGUGGAAAAUUACAGAUUAGAAAAAAGUUCCCGCCAUUCGUAUGCAAAUAUGCACACUAGUAUUGGCUGAUUCUAAAUUAUUCCUACGUGGCGAUUAGCGAUUGGCUUGCUAGCCAUAUAAAACUUAAGGGCAGUUUCCGCCCAAGUUGGAGAACUCCGAGCACGUGAGAGAGUGAGAACUCUGUAUGCAUCUCAGAGACCUCAGAGAACACCUGAGAGGCAACUUGGAGGACUGAUCAACCACCAAGAACAACUCCCUGUCACCGACCCAAAUUUAGACGUAAACCAAUGACUGCCGGCCUGAACACUUCUGCCCGAACACCUCUGCAGACCGACUUAAAGAAAUCCUGUACCUGUUUACAACUGUAAUCUAAGUUAGUUCUUGUCCUGCACUGUAACCAUCAGCAGUAUUACAGAUGCAUUUCAGAAAUGGCAUGCUAUUAUGUACUGAGGACAAGAACUUAUGAAUUGUGAUGGAUGAGAAACCCCUAGAAUUUUCUACUUGUGCCAGUGUCACCACCACCCACUUGACACCUUGUCCAGUCAAAGGAGCUGGUAAACUGCUUUGCUGCAGAUGAAGGCACACUUACUGAUUCAUCCAGAUCAGACAAUGACACCCGGACCUGCCUGCCAGCCUGCAAUCUGUUUUCUGUGUGUUCAGAGCAGCGUGGGUCACUGCAGCUAAACCAGCCCAGUCAGAAUCACGGGCCCAUUCUACAUAACUGACAGCUCUGGCAUUCAGACAUUUUGGAAAUGACAAUUGCUUCUGAAAGGAGAAGUGCCACUUUCUUUUGAAGAUUCUCUGAGCCAUGGAACUAGGUAGAAGAAUCCAGACAGAAUCCACCGGAGUGGAUAACUGUGGGUUCCUGUACAACCUCCACAAAAGAAAGUUAAUUGAAGAAGGAGUCCAGACAAGAACACUCAACACCCUGAUAUUUUAAAAUGAAACAUUUGCAGAAAACUUGAUUCAUCAGGCAAACUUCAGUCUGGUAUUACUGCUGUCAGAGCUUAUGUUGGAAUGCCUCCAACGGUGGAGGAACUUGCAGAUGGCAGUGCUUCAUUGCCCUCAAACUGAAGCUCUCCUGUUCUAACUUUCAGAGACUUUGAAGAGUAAACAGAUGGAAGAGAAGGCAAUCUUGCUCUUGAAGUAAUGAGACUGACUCACCACUUUGUCACAUCAGCAUAACCAACCCAUCCUGCCCCUCCCCCAGCAUUUGGAAGAACAGUCAUCAUCGGUGCCACGUUACAGUGAACUCAGUCACUCCACUGGAAGCCAAUGCAGUUAGACCAGCCUGAAACUAUUGUAGUGAACUAGGCAUGAAUCAGACCCCGAAUUUUGGUUUUGGAUGAUGAAUUGAAAUAUGGGUUUCUCUGCAUCCUCUGCUACCUUUGACCAUUUAUUGGCAAACAAAAGUAGAAGCUACAAAGUUCAAGGAAAAGUCAGUCAGUGUUUUUGGAAGGAUUCACAGAAGCAAGUGGUAGUAACAUAUUUCAAACCAAAAACUGAGCUGAAACCAUUUCUUUCAUCAUCAGGAAAGGCUGUCAGCCACAUCGCUUUCAGCUCCGCUGUGUAACCCCACAGUGCAUGCUGUCUUAGUGCAACAUCAUGAUAUCAGUAGUACAUCAUGGAUCCGCAGGAGCAGAAUGCAAGGGUGCAAAUAUCACCACUAGGAAUGAAUGUGUAGAAUUCCUUAAAACCACAGGCUUGAUUAUCUCUUGCCUUGUACUUUGUAUAUCUACUUACAGUGGUACAAAGCAGGUGCAAAGAACAAGACAGACUGGCACAGUUUUGCACAUGUUUUGUACCUUUAUAAAUGAAAACACAACACACAAAGCAGUGAGGAGGCAGAGCUACCAGACUGGAUCUUCAGUGUAAAAUGGCAUAGCACCAUUGGAUUUCAGACUUGGCUCAGUAUAUAGAAACCACAGGGCUCCAUUCCCAUAUUCUUCAUCUAGAACAUAGCUCCAUACAAGAGAUGGAAAUACUGGGAAAGAGAAAAAACCUCUGAAGCAACUUGCCUCCCUUCUCCACCUCAUCAAUGCUGAAAAAUUCCAGUCCUGGUAUGGAAGUGUGCCCUGUAUUAGUUGGCAAGAACAGCCCAGGGAAAUCUUUAUGAUCUGAUCGACUGCAGUUAUUCUGAUGCAAUGCAAUUAAAGGAGAAUAGGUAAUUUAAUAUUAAUAUUGACUGUAGGAGAGUGCAUCUCAGACUAAACACAAGACUACAACUUUGAUUUGGCCUCAGUCUACCUUCUCUGUGUGCUGCAGUAUUUCUAUUCCUCAAGCACAGUGAUUAUUGUACAACAUAUGAGCUAGAAAGCAAUUCAGUACUGAGAAAGUCAUUGAUCAAAGCAGGGAAAAAAGAUACAUGAUAGCUGGGUUGAAAAGCAGAAUGCAGAGUUCAGCAUGUCUUAUUCUGCACUUGCAUACAAGAUACCACAGUUCAGUUUCCUAUUGUGGCAUCUCAGAAGGGUGAAGAAGCACACAGAAUCAAGGUGGGAAUACAGUCCCUGACCACACAGCAGCAAAAUAUGUUGUUCUGGACUAGCCAAGAGGGAAGAAAGAAAAAUAAAAUGGCAAAUGUGGUGAGAAAUAUAAGGGUCAUAAAGCAACCAAAAGGGUAUGCAAGUAUUGGAAGAAUUCUGGCUGAGCAUAACUGAAGGUUUACUUUGCUAGUAACUUUCUCCUUUCCUAAAUGAAAAUAUCCUCUCCCAGUUUAUUAUUUAUCUAUUCACAAGGUUAAUUACAGCACAAAUGCUCCAAAAGGAAUGUACAUCUUUAAAAAAAAUCUGCUAAGUGCCAAUCCACUAUGACUCAAUUUAUUUUAAUUAAUAAGUGAUCAACCAAAAAAAAAAAUAAAUAAAAAUCCUGAGACCUUG
Alligator mississippiensis (American alligator) is the source of this 2975-nucleotide long non-coding RNA. RefSeq lists it as uncharacterized. NCBI's taxonomy places the organism in Eukaryota, Metazoa, Chordata, Crocodylia, Alligatoridae. The record is from RefSeq and is a predicted model, not a curated record. The transcript has 5 exons.